GAGGGUGUAGCUCAAUGGUAGAGUGCUUGCUUAGCAUGCAUGAGGUCCUGGGUUCCACCCCCAGUACCUCCA
This 72-nucleotide transfer RNA is filed under the name Camelus bactrianus (Bactrian camel). It matches the Rfam family "tRNA". Rfam says of the family: Transfer RNA (tRNA) molecules are approximately 80 nucleotides in length. Their secondary structure includes four short double-helical elements and three loops (D, anti-codon, and T loops). RNAcentral also lists the same sequence under 3 other names. Lineage: Eukaryota; Metazoa; Chordata; Mammalia; Artiodactyla; Camelidae. The record is from Rfam by way of RNAcentral.